Callithrix jacchus (white-tufted-ear marmoset) is the source of this 299-nucleotide non-coding RNA. The record is from Rfam. NCBI's taxonomy places the organism in Eukaryota, Metazoa, Chordata, Mammalia, Primates, Cebidae.
GCUGGGCGCAGUGGCGCGUGCCUGUAGUCCCAGCUACUCGGAAGGCUGAGGUGGGAGGAUCACUUCAGCCCAGGAGUUCUGGGAUAUCGUGCAUUAUGCCAAUUGGGUGUCCGCACUAAGUUUGGCAUCAAUAUGGUGACCUCCUGGGAAUGGGGGACUAUCAGGUUGCCUAAGGAGGGGUGAACCGGCCCAGGUGGGAAACAGAGCAAGUCAAAACUUUGUGCUGAUCCACAGUGGGACUGCACCUGUGAAUAGCCACUGCACUCCAGCCUGGGCAACAUAGCGAGACACCGUCUUUU